This 497-nucleotide ribosomal RNA is filed under the name uncultured bacterium. RNAcentral describes it as "partial 16S ribosomal RNA". It matches the Rfam family "Bacterial small subunit ribosomal RNA", at positions 28 to 507 of the family's 1533-position model. The record is from RNAcentral.
GAUGAACGCUGGCGGCGUGCCUAAUACAUGCAAGUCGAGCGAACAGACGAGGAGCUUGCUCCUCUGACGUUAGCGUCGGACGGGUGAGUAACACGUGGAUAACCUACCUAUAAGACUGGGAUAACUUCGGGAAACCGGAGCUAAUACCGGAUAAUAUAUUGAACCGCAUGGUUCAAUAGUUCAAGACGGUUUUGCUGUCACUUAUAGAUGUAUCCGCGCCGCAUUAGCUAGUUGGUAAGGUAACGGCUUACCAAGGCAACGAUGCGUAGCCGACCUGAGAGGGUGUACGGACAAACUGGAACAGAGACAAGGUCAAGACACCUACGGGAGGCAGCAGUAGGAAAUCUACAGCAAUGGGCGAAAGCCUGACGAAGAAACGCCGCGUGAGUGAUGAAGGUAUUCGGAUCGUAAAACUCUGUUAUUAGAGAAGAACAAAGGUGAAAGUAACUAUGAACGUAUUGACGGUACCUAAUCAGAAAGCCACGACUAACUACGUG